AUGCGUGCAGGCAUAGAGGAGGUCUUUCCGUUGGCAGUGCACAGGCACUGUAGGUGGCACAUUAUAAAGAAGGCUGAGGAGACGCUAGGACCGUUCUUUGCUGACCGUCCAGAGCUGCACAAGGCAUUCGAACUGUGCGUGGACCACAGCUUGACGGUGGAGGAGUUUGAAAGGAGCUGGAUGGCCAUGACUGAAACACAUCAAGUCCAAGACAACGAGACUCUUGUAAGCCUGUGGGAGAAGCGAAUGUACUGGGUGCCGGCCUACUUCAUGCAGUGCUUCUUCCCCUUUCUGCAGACUACGCAGCGCAGCGAGGGAUUCAAUGCUGUUUUGAAGCGGUACGUCAGUCCUGGCAACUCAUUGCUAUAGUUUGCCAAACAGUACACAGCUUUGCAACAAAAAAUUCUGGGAUCUGAGUUGCAGCAAGAAGCGAACACCGCGCUAAAGCAACCAAAAUUGCUAAUGUACUUACCGAUGGAGAGGCAAAUGAGCAAGAUAUACACCAACAAGAUCUUUAACAAGUAA
Molecule: ribosomal RNA, 525 nt
Filed under: Triticum aestivum (bread wheat)
Lineage: Eukaryota; Viridiplantae; Streptophyta; Magnoliopsida; Poales; Poaceae
Description: partial small subunit ribosomal RNA
Source: RNAcentral